AGCCGCAUGUGCCUUCUUCAAACCCAGCUUCCUCCACGGAUAGAAAAAGGGAAAUAAUUUUAACUAUAAAAUCACAUGCUCGAUGAGAAGGCCCAGCGGGACGAGGAAGCUGAUGUGUUCUCUGCGGUGUAACAGCCGCUUUUUCUGAGAGGUCUUUUUUGGGGGAUUUUUUACAAGUUGUUAGGUUUUGGGCUCCUGACCUCAAUUGCCAGGCAUCUGCGGCUAAACUAGGUCCCAUGUUAGGCUCCCUGCGCAAGGCUGCCCUGAGCAGAGACCCCGCCAGCCUCCGGCCUCCCUCCCACUCGCUCCGGGAGCACAAGGGGUGUCCUGGGGAAGCCCCCCCCAGCCCUCACCCAGAGCCCUCCCGCCUGGGGCCCUGCUCCCCCUGCUCCGAGGCUGCCUAGCUCCCCGUUUGGUCCCUGAUCCUCAGGAUGGGUCAGACCACACCCGGAUCGCAUUUGUAAUUUUGACGAUGGCCACAGAAAGGCUCUGACUUGGAACUUAGGAAGAACUUUCCAGUCAUGGGAGUCUUGCGUGUCACAGAAUGGUGAUUCAGGGCUUCCUUCUGUCGGUGUGGGCCGGACGUCUGUCCGGCGAUCCCCGGUUACUUAAAAGCACUUUAGCGUAAGCAGGGAGGUUUGGUCUCUUUCUCUCAUGUGGCUUCUCUGUAUUAGAGUCAAAGAAAGUCAGAUUGGAGAGGGGGCCUCAGACACUGAGGGCCGGUCUUCCUGCCUCGGACCGCAGGUGUGAAGGUGAGAUUGUCACUGGUGCAGCUCAACGCGAAGGGGACGCCGCGUGGGCGCGGGGUCCUGGGCUGGACGCUGCGGCAGGAGAAGAGCAUCCUGGGAGAGGCCGGGGACGUCUGAACCGAGGCCACGGUGCAGCUCACGGCGCUGUGCCCAGGACUACGGUCAGUAGAAGCAUCAGGAAAAUGUAGCACUGGAAGCAGAUCUCCGUUAGAGAACAGUGAGGUGGGGGUCCCCACUGGCCCGACUUCCCUGCAACACCCUCCAGGACCCUCCCUCGUCUCGUCCAAGCCGAGCCGGAGAAUCUAUGACUUGAGAAACCAGGAAGAAACAGAACAGACGGGCGCCUGGGUGGCUCAGUCGGUUAAGCGUCUGGCUUCAGCUCAGAUAUCCAGAAGCAGAACUGCAGGAUCACCGGGUCAUUCUAUUUUUAACUUUUUGAGGAACCUCCAUCCUGUUUUCCACAGUGGCUGCUCCCGUCUGCGUUCCCAC
This is a long non-coding RNA of Suricata suricatta (meerkat), 1238 nucleotides long. RefSeq lists it as uncharacterized. NCBI's taxonomy places the organism in Eukaryota, Metazoa, Chordata, Mammalia, Carnivora, Herpestidae. The record is from RefSeq and is a predicted model, not a curated record. The transcript has 3 exons.